Eufriesea mexicana is the source of this 170-nucleotide long non-coding RNA. RefSeq lists it as uncharacterized. NCBI's taxonomy places the organism in Eukaryota, Metazoa, Arthropoda, Insecta, Hymenoptera, Apidae. The record is from RefSeq and is a predicted model, not a curated record. The transcript is spliced from 3 exons.
GCGUUACGAGAGGGGUCAGGGUCUCUUCGAGAACCGGCAAUCGGUGAUUACAGCCAAGAUGUGCACUGGUGGUGAUCGGGGAACGUUGCCGCCAUUACGACGAAACAUAAGAACACGUUGCGAAAUUUAUUACUCGGCGAUGAGUCAUGACAACAGUUAACCGGUACGAC